GGGAACCUCUUGAUCUCCUCUGAGUGGCUGGUUCUGUGCAGUAUCAGAUCUAACCAGGGGCUUAGCACAGGCUGGGGACAGAGGAGUGCCUGAUGUGUGACUUUGUCUCCAGAAGCCACUCCCACCCCCUGGGUGACCACAGCGCCCAUCACGUCUGCUUUGCUGAGAGUGAGCAGUGGGCAGAAUGACAGCAUCGAGGACGUGCUGGCCCCCCACUCCUGGUAAGGCCCCAGCCCUGGAGACAGGGGAAGGGAGCCAGCAGCCCUGGGCUCGGGGGAACCAGAGACGGGAGUCAUGCCCUGUCCAGCCAGCCUCACCGCUGCUGUCUCAGUGCUCACAUUCUCUGAGGCUGCCUUUGAGUGCUGAGUCGGGGAGGCUGCAGACACAGGCCAGAGGCUGGCUUGGGUGGCCGGACAGCCCCUGGUCCCUCCCAACCCUCCUUCCCCUCAGGGUCCGGACCUGCAGCCCCUUCCAAAGGUCUUUGCUCAGCUGGGCCUCUUGCCACCAGGAGCUGCCUCUGGGGUCUGGGGAGACAGGUGGCUUCAGGCUGGAGUUUCAGUCUGUUUUCCCUCUUCUCCCAGAGAUCCCCGGGAAGGGCUGCACUGCUGCCAUCAGACCCUGAAGGGAGGGACAAGGGACAAGGACUUUGCAGUGAGAGUGAGGAUUGGUUUCAAGAAGUUGGCAUGCAGAAGGGACAGAGAGGGUGACCCUGGAGCUCCUGGGGCCUCUUCUCUGUCCUCUCCGUCAUCUCUCCUCCGUGAGACCCCCUUGAGGGAGAGGUGAAGGGGCCACAGAGGUGCUCCCUGGGUCCGUUCUCUGUUGAGUUCUGAAUUAUUUGGGCUCUAAAAUCAGGGCACAGGGAGAGGUGGGGAGAGAAAGGUCCUGGGGCUUCCCCUGCAGGAGGCAGCUCAUGUCUUGUUCCCAUGGCCCCCACAGGUCCCUGCUCAGCAGUGUCCACUUCCUGCUUCUCGUCUUCUUGAAGGUGCCCCUGCUUCUGAGCAUGCUCAGUGCUGUCCUCUGGGUGAACAGGCCUCAGAGGGCCCCUGGGGGUGGACAGAGACUGCUUGUUUGGAACCUCUACAGUGCGCCACCCCAGAAAUGCCCUGCGUAAGGACGAAGCUCCUUCGGACUGUACGAGAAGGACUUUUGACUCUGGACUCCAGGGCGGGGAGGCAGCAGUCACCAGCUUCUGUAGGGACUUCUGUAAGGAGGGGCCUGGGUCUUAGAGGGCUCUUCUUUGGAGUCCUCAGCAUGGAAGAGGGAGUGAAACUCCCCUGGGCCCCUGUUUUGGGGGUCCUCUUUUCUCCUCCCGGCUCAUGCCCACUUCCCAAGGCCAAGAAUUCUCUGGGAUUUUCAUGCUCGUGCACAAAAGCAUCUGAGGUCAGUUUCCCCAGGGGAGAGUCGCCUCCUUCCUACAGAUGGGAGGCUCCCUGAGGAGCCUUUGGGCUCACAGGGCUCCACCCCCUCUCCUGGGACGACCCAGGGCUCUGGGUCCUGCUCAGGCAGCUCCUCACUUUCCUGAACACUCAGGGUUCCUUCCCCUUUUCUGGGGCUUUUGGGUCUCCCUGGGCUUUAAGCCUCGCUGGGUCCCUGUGAGCAGGGAGCAAGGGCUCAGCACAUCUGCCUAGGCUGGUCAUGGCUGCGUGGCUCCAUGGGACGGGUUGGAGCAGCAAUGGGAGGAGGAGGCGGUGGCUUCCGCUAACACCACUCCUGAUCCUGGGGGUCUCCUCUGCUCGGUGUUGCCCAAGAGUCCAUCUGCCUGAGACCACCUGUCAGCAGUCAGUCCCUUCCCCGGGGUGGGCAGCUUUUCACAGGCAGGGUGCAGGCUGGGAGGUGAGGAGCACUCUACCACCCGGGGACCCGAGCCCAGGAGGAGGCGCCGCUGGCUGAACGCCUCCGUUGCUCCCCGUGUGGCUUGCGAGGGGAUUCCACUGUCUGCCCCAGCGUCACCAUCUCCUCUCACUCCCUGCUCUGGGCCAGUCCUCUCCCUCCCCCCAGGCCACUCCUGCCCUGAACUAGUGAUGCCAGUUUCCAGAGAGGGGACGCAUCCAGAGGACAGCAUGAGUGAAAACAGGGUAGAGGCAGCCAUUAUGGUAACCGUGGCCCCUGGGAGACCUGUCCGCAGAAGGGUGCUGUCCCCUGUGGUUUUCACGGUGAGCUGUGUCCAAGGUGAGCUGACCUGGAGCUAAGGUGGAGCAUGUCACGGGGCAGAGGCUUGACUCUGGCCUAGGUUUUUAUUUUCAUUCAUUUAUUUUUUGAGGUGCUGGGAUUGAACCCAGGGCCUCGUGGACCACUGAGCGGCACCCCCGCCCUUAAGCUUCUAUUAAGAACAGUAGGGUGGGCUUGGCCAGAACAAGAGGAGAUGGUGGGUGUCCUCUAGGAGAGCUUACUUAGCCAACGUGGCAGGCUCCAGCCUGAGGGCCAGAAGAAGGGGCGUUGUCGACAGAUGUGGGCUGGUCAGCAGCAGGCCUGGGGAUGCAGAGCUCACGUUUCUGUGUGUGACCGGGGUCACCAGGCAGAGGGUCUCGCAGGAAGCUAGAGAGGGGAGCCAGUAGAGUGUGAGGGCCGGGGAGGAAGGCGUGUGUCCAGAGCACGGGAGCCCAGAGAAGGUGAACUGGGCGGGGAAGUCUCAGACCAAGGACAGAGCCCACGGCCACCACUGUUGAGAGCCACAGCCAAAGUGGCCCCAGCAAACUUCCAGCUGCCAGCAAACUUCCAGCUGCUGGCUGAUGAUUGGCUCACAGCGGCCCCAGCAACAUCUAGCUGAUUGGCUCCUCUGCGGUGAUGCUCAUUGGACUGUUUCCCUGCCCUUUCAGACCACGGAGCUGCUCAUUGGGGGACUUUUUUGGCUCCGCCCACGUGACCCAGCCAAUCGGCCUCAAGAGCAGGAGGAUUGUGGGAGGUGGAGAGAAGCUUGUGGGGGAGAGAGAGGCUUGGGGAAAGCCGGUGGUGGCAGUUGAGGCUCUGAGGGUUUUUCCUGAGAGACUAUUUUGUUUGUCUUGUAUGGUUCUAAAAAUAAAGUUAG
This 3025-nucleotide long non-coding RNA is filed under the name Marmota monax (woodchuck). The record is from RNAcentral. Lineage: Eukaryota; Metazoa; Chordata; Mammalia; Rodentia; Sciuridae.